This 662-nucleotide ribosomal RNA is filed under the name uncultured Cyanobacterium sp. RNAcentral describes it as "bacterial SSU rRNA". It matches the Rfam family "Bacterial small subunit ribosomal RNA", at positions 99 to 795 of the family's 1533-position model. The record is from RNAcentral. Lineage: Bacteria; Bacillati; Cyanobacteriota; Cyanophyceae; Chroococcales; Geminocystaceae.
CGGACGGGUGAGUAACGCGUGAGAAUCUGCCCUCAGGAGGGGGAUAACGGCUGGAAACGGCCGCUAAUACCCCAUAUGCCGAGAGGUGAAAUGAAUUUCGCCUGAGGAUGAGCUCGCGUCUGAUUAGCUAGUUGGUAGGGUAAAGGCCUACCAAGGCUUCGAUCAGUAGCUGGUCUGAGAGGAUGAUCAGCCACACUGGGACUGAGGCACGGCCCAGACUCCUACGGGAGGCAGCAGUGGGGAAUUUUCCGCAAUGGGCGAAAGCCUGACGGAGCAACGCCGCGUGAGGGAUGAAGGCCUCUGGGCUGUAAACCUCUUUUAUCAAGGAAGAAGAUCUGACGGUACUUGAUGAAUAAGCCACGGCUAAUUCCGUGCCAGCAGCCGCGGUAAUACGGGAGUGGCAAGCGUUAUCCGGAAUUAUUGGGCGUAAAGCGUCCGCAGGCGGUCUUACAAGUCUGUCGUUAAAGCGUGAAGCUUAACUCCAUUUCAGCGAUGGAAACUGUAAGACUAGAGUGUGGUAGGGGCAGAGGGAAUUCCCGGUGUAGCGGUGAAAUGCGUAGAUAUCGGGAAGAACACCAGUGGCGAAGGCGCUCUGCUGGGCCAUAACUGACGCUCAUGGACGAAAGCCAGGGGAGCGAAAGGGAUUAGAUACCCCUGUAGUC